Molecule: long non-coding RNA, 3593 nt
Organism: Aegilops tauschii subsp. strangulata
Lineage: Eukaryota; Viridiplantae; Streptophyta; Magnoliopsida; Poales; Poaceae
Source: RefSeq, a predicted model, not a curated record
AGUUACCUCAAAAGAUACCCAUACAAAAUAUGGCUCAAUUGCACUAAAAUUUUAGAAUUUAAACUCAAAACUUAAUGAUACAACAAAAUGGGUAAAAACAUAGUUGAAAACUACAAAGAACAGUACAUGAUGAAAAAGUGUACCAAUCAAUGGUUUGCUUCAUCUGUGCCUCACAUAACCUCAUCAACGAUGGAAGAAGAGCCAACACCUUCAAGAUAUGAAAAGCAAAAUUUCGUAAGAGAAGGCAUAAACAUCAAGUGAAACAAUUAUCACCGAUAUAAAUAUAAAAACUUACCACUUCGACAAGGUAAAAGCCUUUUGCGAGACCUAUAAGUGAUAUACCCUAGACUGGUGAAAAAAAUGUCUUCAUCUUAUUUUUCUACAAUAUGAAAUUAAAUUAGCAACUACAUCAAUUUGAGUUCAACAAUACACUAGAUAUAUGAUCAGUUCGGACCAGUUUAUACGCUGAUAUAAGUAGAACAUGGUACAAGUGAAAAGCAUCAGGGGAGCAGAGAAAACAUCAAAGGAAAUUACAAGGUGUUGCAGCUGGCAGUGAAGCAACCAGCAGGGAUGGCGCGCCCGGGCGAACGACGCACAGGACAGAAGGGCGGCGGCCGGGAGCCAGAGAGCAGGGGGAAAGUGGGGAGGGGGUUGGGGGGCGGAGGCAUCGCCGGCGGCGCGAGUGCUGGAGUCUGGAGAUUUGAUCCUGUGUGUGUGCGACUCGGCGGCGGCCGCACGAGCGCUGCGUCUCCUUUUUUUCAGCAACAGCACUGCAUUCCUCUCCCUCAUUUUUUAGAAAAACGUUCCUCUGCCUCGUGCGUGCGAGUAGAUCGUGGGGUAGCCUUGCCUCGUUCGUGCGUCCGUUUCUGGUAGGACAGGGCAUCAAGGCUUUGGGCUUUCUUUCGUUUACUGGGCUGCACCCCGGGCCUGCAGAAAAAGCUAUAUAAUUGUAGCCUGUUAAAUUUUGCAAGCCCCGGGCCUGGGCCCUGGGUGCCCGGGGCCCAGCUCCGCCCCUGCAGGGAGAGGAGGAGUUGCCCAGCCAGCCAUGGAGUAACUGAAGGUCAUGGUGCACCCUCCCGCUCUCUGUUUGGAGUAGGUUAUUAAUUUCAGAGAUAGAUGUAAUUAGUCAGAUGUUAAUUCAGUUAAAUUCAGACAUACUCCUAAAUUCAGUUAAUUCAGUUACGCACACAAAUUUCAGUUAAUGCUUGCAGUAAGUUGGAGUACAUCAAAUCUGCCUGAAUGUGCAGGAGUAGGACAAGCAAAUCUGCUUGAAUGUGUGUUUAUUGGGAAUCCAGCUAGUGUGCUGAUAGUGUAAUCCAGCUAGUGUACUGAGCUCUGUUUAAAAACACUUUGCUGAAUCUAUAUGCACCAUGUAUCCGAAAUGUCAUUUUCUUGGAUUACACAAUCAGAAAUGUCAAGUUUGUUCCAGGAGUAGAAAGCAAGUUAAUGUCUGAACGAAGUUACAGGUGCUAGCGUAGAUUCGUAUUGUUGGUCGUAUGCAAAGUUGAGAAACUUGAGUAUGCAAACUUGAGUAACUUUGUCCCAGGAGUAAAAAGCAAGUUAAUGUCAAGUUUCUUACUGGAGUAUGCUUUAUGCUGUGAACAUUUUUAAACUGACCAUAUAUGUCAAGGAAUUUACUAUCCUUUUGUAUGCUUUACGUUUAAACAUACCAUAUAAUCAAAUUCUGUAGUUUGAUCCCUGCAAAACAAUAGUUACUCCUAGGAGUUUUUUAGAUGUGCCAGUUGAUUAGGUUGCUCAUAUCCUGCAUCUGACUACCAGUCAGAAUCCUUAUGUGUGGGAGUAGUAAUUAUCGACAAAACAGAGUAACUUUGUUUUACUCUUUCAGUGUAAGAGAGUUCCACGUUCUCAAAAAUAAUAAGAGGGUUACAGUAAACAACUGUGUCAUUUAUUUUAAGCUAUCCGCCUUGCAGGAGAAACGAUUUCUGCCUUCAUCAAUUGUUGAGCAACAAGGACAGUGAUCAAGCAAGCAGUGAGUGGAUGAAUCAUCUGGUAAGGGAGUGCGCAGGGCUUCAGUCAAUUGGGGUAAGCAAUUUCUGUUGAUGCUGCCGUGAGGUUAAUGUGUACACAUGGAAAGAUUGACCAAACUGCUGGAAAGAGAUAGGAGUAAGUUGGAAAGGAAGGAUUAACCUCUGCCGGUAUUCAUGGAUAACUCUUGGGAAGAUAACAUUAAGAACUCAUUUGAGCUCUUUGUUCUUCCCAUAAAAUCAGAAGGUUCUGUUGAUGCUGCCGUGAGGUUAAUGUGUACACAUGGAAAGAUUGACCAAACUGCUGGAAAGAGAUAGGAGUAAGUUGGAAAGGAAGGAUUAACCUCUGCCGGUAUUCAUGGAUAACUCUUGGGAAGAUAACAUUAAGAACUCAUUUGAGCUCUUUGUUCUUCCCAUAAAAUCAGAAGGCAGAUGUAAUUCUUUCUUUCCACACUCGAUUCCUUCAUCAGUGUCGAUGAAUUAUAUAACUCCAUAUUCUGUAUGUACAUAUAAAUGCAGUUAGUGCUUCCUAAAUUCAGUAUAUUUUGAGUGUGGAGUAGAAGUGUAAUGAGUACUCCAGUAUAUAGUGUAUUUUGGAUUACACUAGAUAUAAAAUCAGGCCUUCAGUACACUAGUUCACCAGCUAGUGUUUCAGUACUUCGUUCUGCAGGAUUACUUACUCCUACAGGUCUGCAGGAUUAUUUUGGGUGCUACUGAAUUUAUAGUGCAUAUAAAUUUAUUGAUCUCAAAUGGUGUAUUGACCUCAUUCAUCAGGAUACAUCGUUUUUUUAGAAAGUUCUUUAAAUAUCCAAGUAUUGAUCUCAAAUGGUGUGUUGAAUUUGUUUCCAUUGACUCACAGAAAUUUUAGGCAUGUUUGCCAUUGGACAAAUGGUGUAUAACAAUGAUCAUCAUCUCUAAAUUGGAUAAUUGGACAACAUCAGCAGGAGGACAGCAACAACAACAUUUUCUCAUGCAUUACAGACUAUUGUACCUAAAAGCUUCGAUGAAUUCUCCCAAUUCUACUGUAAGGCGAAAACUGAUAAGAAUUGGGAGCAGCGAGGAGUACCUGGCGAGGACUAGGCGGGGGAGUAGCGAGGACCGGGCUGGGCAGCGUGGUUGAGAGGACCAGGUUGGUGCAGCGAGGACCAAAUUGGGAGCGGCGGCGGCGGCAGCGGCAGCCAGGCUGGGGCGGCGGCGAUCAAAUUGGGAGCGGUGGCGACCAAAUUGGGUAAGAACGACGUGGAAGAGACUGGCGAAGGAGGAGGAGGUGGAGGGCGGAGGAGGAGGUGGCCGGACUAGCAGCUGGAGGAGGUGGAGGGCGGAGGAGGAGGUGGCCGGCCUGGCAGAGGAAGACGACGACUCUCGUUUUCAGAUCAGGGGUAUUUUUGUACUUUUGCUUGUUUUCACCUGGUCGGAAAAAAACCCCAGCGACAACUAUUUCGGAACGGAGGGAGUAGCACUAAGACGUUGUGUGACCAAAAAUAAUUACUACACAUAUUUUUCAGCAUUUCCAGCAAGUGCGUAGGUAUCACUGGCUGCAUUUGUGUGCAUUUGGUUCGUAAACAUCUCUAUUGUUAAAAGGGAGUCUGUUUGGUUGCUCGCAUUAAA